GAUGAACGCUGACAGAAUGCUUAACACAUGCAAGUCAACUGUUGCUGACGGGUGAGUAACGCGUAAAGAACUUGCCUCACAGCUAGGGACAACAUUUGGAAACGAAUGCUAAUACCUGAUACUUUGAGAGAGCUUUGCGUCCCCUUAGCUAGUUGGAGAGGUAACGGCUCACCAAGGAGAUGAUGGGUAGCCGGCCUGUGAGGGUGAUCGGCGACAAGGGGACUGAGGCACGGCCCUUACUCCUACGGGAGGAAGCGGUGGGGAAUAUUGGACAAUGGACCAAAGUCUGAUCCAGCAAUGCUGGGUGCACGAUGAAGUUUUCGGGAUGUAAAGUGCUUUCAGUUGGGAAGCGGUACCAACAGAAGAAGUAACGGCUAAAUCCGUGCCAGCAGCCGCGGUAAUAC
This 404-nucleotide ribosomal RNA is filed under the name uncultured bacterium. Its description in RNAcentral is "partial 16S ribosomal RNA". It matches the Rfam family "Bacterial small subunit ribosomal RNA", at positions 28 to 526 of the family's 1533-position model. The record is from RNAcentral.